Molecule: ribosomal RNA, 253 nt
Filed under: uncultured bacterium
Lineage: Bacteria
Description: partial 16S ribosomal RNA
Rfam family: Bacterial small subunit ribosomal RNA
Source: RNAcentral
UACGUAGGGUCCGAGCGUUGUCCGGAAUUACUGGGCGUAAAGAGCUCGUAGGUGGUUUGUCGCGUUGUUCGUGAAAACUCACAGCUUAACUGUGGGCGUGCGGGCGAUACGGGCAGACUUGAGUACUGCAGGGGAGACUGGAAUUCCUGGUGUAGCGGUGGAAUGCGCAGAUAUCAGGAGGAACACCGGUGGCGAAGGCGGUUCUCUGGGCAUGAUCUGACGCUGAGGAGCGAAAGUGUGGGGAGCGAACAGG